GAUGAACGCUGGCGGCGUGCCUAAUACAUGCAAGUCGAGCGGUCGGACUAGAAGUUGGCUGUGCUGAUGUUAGCGGCGGGCGUGUGAGUAACACGGGUGUAACCUACCGAUAUGACGGGGAUAACUGGGGGAAACCGGAGCUAAUAGCGGAGAAUAUUGUUAACCGCAUGGUUCAGGAGUGAAAGACGGUCUUGCUGUCACUUAUAGAUGUAUCCGCGCUGCAUUAGCUAGUUGGUAAGGUAACGGCCUACCAGGGCAACGAUGCGUAGCCGACCUGAGAGAGGGAUAGCCGGCCUUGGAACUGAGACAGGCACAAGAGUCCUACGAGAGGCCGCAGACGCGAAUGUUAGGCCAUAGGCGAAAGCAUGACGGAGCAACGCCGAGUCUGUGGCGGCGAUGUUCGGAUCGUGAAGAUCUGCUAUUAGGGAAGAACAUCUGUGUACGUAAAUGUACACUUCUUGACGGUACCUAGUGAGAAAGCCACGGCUAACUACGUG
RNAcentral lists this ribosomal RNA (497 nucleotides) under uncultured bacterium. RNAcentral describes it as "partial 16S ribosomal RNA". It matches the Rfam family "Bacterial small subunit ribosomal RNA", at positions 28 to 507 of the family's 1533-position model. The record is from RNAcentral.